AACGAACGCUGGCGGCAUGCCUAACACAUGCAAGUCGAACGAGACCUUCGGGUCUAGUGGCGCACGGGUGCGUAACGCGUGGGAACCUGCCUUUAGGUUCGGAAUAACUCAGAGAAAUUUGAGCUAAUACCGGAUGAUGUCUUCGGACCAAAGAUUUAUCGCCUUUAGAUGGGCCCGCGUUGGAUUGGCUAGUUGGUGGGGUAAAGGCCUACCAAGGCGACGAUCCAUAGCUGGUCCGAGAGGAUGAUCAGCCACACUGGGACUGAGACACGGCCCAGACUCCUACGGGAGGCAGCAGUGGGGAAUAUUGGACAAUGGGCGAAAGCCUGAUCCAGCAAUGCCGCGUGAGUGAUGAAGGCCUUAGGGUUGUAAAGCUCUUUUACCCGAGAUGAUAAUGACAGUAUCGGGAGAAUAAGCUCCGGCUAACUCCGUG
This 433-nucleotide ribosomal RNA is filed under the name uncultured bacterium. Its description in RNAcentral is "partial 16S ribosomal RNA". It matches the Rfam family "Bacterial small subunit ribosomal RNA", at positions 29 to 507 of the family's 1533-position model. The record is from RNAcentral.